Molecule: transfer RNA, 63 nt
Filed under: Anodonta anatina
Lineage: Eukaryota; Metazoa; Mollusca; Bivalvia; Unionida; Unionidae
Description: tRNA-Asp
Source: RNAcentral
AAAGAAUUAGUUAAAUAAUAAUUUAAGUUUGUCAAACUUAAGUUGCCAUUAUGGUAUUCUUUU